ACCUGACAGGUGGACUUCCCCUAGUGCAUCUGCAACACACUCAUGGCUCUCAGGUCAGUGCAGUCAGAUGAGGAUGAGAGAGUGGAGCCACAGCACUGGCUAGAGAUGGAGAAUCACGUCUCUCUCAGCCACACCCUCUUCAAGAUCGCACCCCUCCUUCCUGUCCUUUCUGUGUGGCAGAGGUGACUGUGCUCUGAAGAUGAGAUCCACUAUCUAGAAGUGAGUUCCAGGUGUGUGCUUUUGGAUAGGUCUGCGAUAUGGAAAGACACUUCAGCUGGAAGAUGCGGAUGGGAAGAAAAGAUAGGAUGCUGACCCUCCUAAAGGGGCUUGCUCACCUGUGAGGAUACUUGCUCUGCAAGAUAAAGUAAAAUUCCAGAUGACAGCCUGUUUUGAUGAUGUAGCCUUUGCUGACAACCCAGAAGCACAAACACGUGGGAAGAGCUGCUGUUAGAAAGUCUCCCUUGAAAUGCAAAUGAUGGCUGAUGGUACAAAUUCUGAAGUGCAGGGAGAAUGCAUCUGAUGGAGAUGCAUGGAGAGUAUGAACAUCCUGCCAGGCAAGUAACGACUGGAGAUCAUAGGGUUCAUUGCUAGGUAA
Molecule: long non-coding RNA, 595 nt
Filed under: Mus caroli (Ryukyu mouse)
Lineage: Eukaryota; Metazoa; Chordata; Mammalia; Rodentia; Muridae
Description: lncRNA (MGP_CAROLIEiJ_G0003424.1)
Source: RNAcentral